CCUUCGAUAGCUCAGUUGGUAGAGCGGUGGACUGUAGAAGUGCUAAAUACGAUGUAGAAAUCCAUAGGUCGCUGGUUCAAAUCCGGCUCGAAGGA
Molecule: transfer RNA, 95 nt
Filed under: Glossina austeni
Lineage: Eukaryota; Metazoa; Arthropoda; Insecta; Diptera; Glossinidae
Description: tRNA tRNA-Tyr
Rfam family: tRNA
About the family: Transfer RNA (tRNA) molecules are approximately 80 nucleotides in length. Their secondary structure includes four short double-helical elements and three loops (D, anti-codon, and T loops).
Source: RNAcentral